Anaeromyxobacter dehalogenans 2CP-C is the source of this 410-nucleotide non-coding RNA. It matches the Rfam family "Bacterial RNase P class A". From Rfam's summary of the family: Ribonuclease P (RNase P) is a ubiquitous endoribonuclease, found in archaea, bacteria and eukarya as well as chloroplasts and mitochondria. Its best characterised activity is the generation of mature 5'-ends of tRNAs by cleaving the 5'-leader elements of precursor-tRNAs. Lineage: Bacteria; Pseudomonadati; Myxococcota; Myxococcia; Myxococcales; Anaeromyxobacteraceae. The record is from Rfam.
GGAGCCGCCCGGGCGAACGCGUCGGUCCUGCAGGGAAGGGGGCCGCCGAGGAAAGUCCGGGCACCACAGGGCAGCGUGCCGGCCAACGGCCGGUCGGGGCGACCCGCAGGAAAGUGCCACAGAGAACAGACCGCCGAACGGCGCCGGGCGACCGGCGUGCGUGGCAAGGGUGAAACGGUGCGGUAAGAGCGCACCGCGCGCCGGGUGACCGGCGCGGCACGGCAAACCCCACGCGGUGCAAGAGCGAAUAGGGAGGCGUCCCACCCGCGCGAGCGGGAGGGCAAGACCGGCCCGGUCCAGGCCUCCGGGUAUGCUCGCUGGAGACGCGCGGCAACGCGCGUCCGAGAUGAAUGUUCGUCGCCGCGGGGUUUCCCGCGGAACAGAACCCGGCUUACAGGGCGGCUCCGGUC